This 2904-nucleotide ribosomal RNA is filed under the name Acinetobacter baumannii. Its description in RNAcentral is "23S ribosomal RNA". It matches the Rfam family "Bacterial large subunit ribosomal RNA". Lineage: Bacteria; Pseudomonadati; Pseudomonadota; Gammaproteobacteria; Moraxellales; Moraxellaceae. The record is from RNAcentral. RNAcentral also lists the same sequence under 4 other names.
GGUUAAGCGACUAAGCGUACACGGUGGAUGCCCUGGCAGUCAGAGGCGAUGAAGGACGUGCUAAUCUGCGAUAAGCGUCGGUGAGGUGAUAUGAACCGUUAUAACCGGCGAUUUCCGAAUGGGGAAACCCAGUGUGUUUCGACACACUAUCAUUAACUGAAUCCAUAGGUUAAUGAGGCGAACCGGGGGAACUGAAACAUCUAAGUACCCCGAGGAAAAGAAAUCAACCGAGAUUCCCCCAGUAGCGGCGAGCGAACGGGGAGGAGCCCAGAGCCUGAAUCAGUGUGUGUGUUAGUGGAAGCGUCUGGAAAGGCGCGCGAUACAGGGUGACAGCCCCGUACACAAAAAUGCACAUGCUGUGAGCUCGAUGAGUAGGGCGGGACACGUGGUAUCCUGUCUGAAUAUGGGGGGACCAUCCUCCAAGGCUAAAUACUCCUGACUGACCGAUAGUGAACCAGUACCGUGAGGGAAAGGCGAAAAGAACCCCGGCGAGGGGAGUGAAAAAGAACCUGAAACCGUGUACGUACAAGCAGUGGGAGCCUCUUAAUGGGGUGACUGCGUACCUUUUGUAUAAUGGGUCAGCGACUUAUAUUCUGUAGCAAGGUUAACCGAAUAGGGGAGCCGAAGGGAAACCGAGUCUUAACUGGGCGUUAAGUUGCAGGGUAUAGACCCGAAACCCGGUGAUCUAGCCAUGGGCAGGUUGAAGGUUGGGUAACACUAACUGGAGGACCGAACCGACUAAUGUUGAAAAAUUAGCGGAUGACUUGUGGCUGGGGGUGAAAGGCCAAUCAAACCGGGAGAUAGCUGGUUCUCCCCGAAAGCUAUUUAGGUAGCGCCUCGUGAAUUCAUCUCCGGGGGUAGAGCACUGUUUCGGCAAGGGGGUCAUCCCGACUUACCAACCCGAUGCAAACUGCGAAUACCGGAGAAUGUUAUCACGGGAGACACACGGCGGGUGCUAACGUCCGUCGUGAAGAGGGAAACAACCCAGACCGCCAGCUAAGGUCCCAAAGUCAUGGUUAAGUGGGAAACGAUGUGGGAAGGCCCAGACAGCCAGGAUGUUGGCUUAGAAGCAGCCAUCAUUUAAAGAAAGCGUAAUAGCUCACUGGUCGAGUCGGCCUGCGCGGAAGAUGUAACGGGGCUAAACCAUGCACCGAAGCUGCGGCAGCGACACUAUGUGUUGUUGGGUAGGGGAGCGUUCUGUAAGCCUGUGAAGGUGGCCUGUGAGGGUUGCUGGAGGUAUCAGAAGUGCGAAUGCUGACAUAAGUAACGAUAAAGCGGGUGAAAAGCCCGCUCGCCGGAAGACCAAGGGUUCCUGUCCAACGUUAAUCGGGGCAGGGUGAGUCGACCCCUAAGGCGAGGCCGAAAGGCGUAGUCGAUGGGAAACAGGUUAAUAUUCCUGUACUUGGUGUUACUGCGAAGGGGGGACGGAGAAGGCUAUGUUGGCCGGGCGACGGUUGUCCCGGUUUAAGCGUGUAGGCUGGUUUUCCAGGCAAAUCCGGAAAACCAAGGCUGAGGCGUGAUGACGAGGCACUACGGUGCUGAAGUGACAAAUGCCCUGCUUCCAGGAAAAGCCUCUAAGCAUCAGGUAACAUCAAAUCGUACCCCAAACCGACACAGGUGGUCAGGUAGAGAAUACCAAGGCGCUUGAGAGAACUCGGGUGAAGGAACUAGGCAAAAUGGUGCCGUAACUUCGGGAGAAGGCACGCUGAUAUGUAGGUGAAGCGACUUGCUCGUGGAGCUGAAAUCAGUCGAAGAUACCAGCUGGCUGCAACUGUUUAUUAAAAACACAGCACUGUGCAAACACGAAAGUGGACGUAUACGGUGUGACGCCUGCCCGGUGCCGGAAGGUUAAUUGAUGGGGUUAGCGGUAACGCGAAGCUCUUGAUCGAAGCCCCGGUAAACGGCGGCCGUAACUAUAACGGUCCUAAGGUAGCGAAAUUCCUUGUCGGGUAAGUUCCGACCUGCACGAAUGGCGUAAUGAUGGCCAGGCUGUCUCCACCCGAGACUCAGUGAAAUUGAACUCGCUGUGAAGAUGCAGUGUACCCGCGGCAAGACGGAAAGACCCCGUGAACCUUUACUAUAGCUUGACACUGAACAUUGAGCCUUGAUGUGUAGGAUAGGUGGGAGGCUUUGAAGUGUGGACGCCAGUCUGCAUGGAGCCGACCUUGAAAUACCACCCUUUAAUGUUUGAUGUUCUAACGUUGGCCCCUAAUCGGGGUUGCGGACAGUGUCUGGUGGGUAGUUUGACUGGGGCGGUCUCCUCCUAAAGAGUAACGGAGGAGCACGAAGGUUGGCUAAUCCUGGUCGGACAUCAGGAGGUUAGUGCAAUGGCAUAAGCCAGCUUGACUGCGAGCGUGACGGCGCGAGCAGGUGCGAAAGCAGGUCAUAGUGAUCCGGUGGUUCUGAAUGGAAGGGCCAUCGCUCAACGGAUAAAAGGUACUCCGGGGAUAACAGGCUGAUACCGCCCAAGAGUUCAUAUCGACGGCGGUGUUUGGCACCUCGAUGUCGGCUCAUCACAUCCUGGGGCUGAAGUAGGUCCCAAGGGUAUGGCUGUUCGCCAUUUAAAGUGGUACGCGAGCUGGGUUUAGAACGUCGUGAGACAGUUCGGUCCCUAUCUGCCGUGGGCGCUGGAGAACUGAGGGGGGCUGCUCCUAGUACGAGAGGACCGGAGUGGACGCAUCACUGGUGUUCGGGUUGUCAUGCCAAUGGCACUGCCCGGUAGCUAAAUGCGGAAGAGAUAAGUGCUGAAAGCAUCUAAGCACGAAACUUGCCCCGAGAUGAGUUCUCCCUGAGACUUAGAGUCUCCUGAAGGAACGUUGAAGACGACGACGUUGAUAGGCCGGGUGUGUAAGCGCAGCGAUGCGUUGAGCUAACCGGUACUAAUGAACCGUGAGGCUUAACCUU